RNAcentral lists this ribosomal RNA (497 nucleotides) under uncultured bacterium. RNAcentral's name for it is "partial 16S ribosomal RNA". It matches the Rfam family "Bacterial small subunit ribosomal RNA", at positions 28 to 507 of the family's 1533-position model. The record is from RNAcentral.
GAUGAACGCUGGCGGCGUGCCUAAUACAUGCAAGUCGAGCGAACAGACGAGGAUCUUGCUCCUCUUACGUUAGCGGCGGACGGGUGAGUAACACGUGGAUAACCUACCUAUAAGACUGGUAUAACUUCGGGAAACCUGAUCUAAUACCGGAUAAUAUAUUGAACCGCAUGGUUCAAUAGUGAAAGACGGUUUUGCUGUCACUUAUAGAUGUUUCCACGCCGCAUUAGCUAGUUGGUAAGGUAACGGCUUACCAAGGCAACGAUGCGUAGCCGACCUGAGAGGGUGAUCGGACACACUGGAACUGAGACACGGUCCAGACUCAUACGGGAGGCAGCAGUAGGGAAUAUUGCGCAAUGGGCGAAAGCCUGACGGAGCAACGCCGCGUGAGUGAAGAAGGUCUUCGGAUCGUAAAACUCUGUUAGUAGGGAAGAACAAAAGUGAAAGAAAAUAUGCACGUAUUGACGGUACCAAAACAGAAAGCAACGGCUAACUACGUG